AGAGUUUGAUCCUGGCUCAGGACGAACGCUGGCGGCGUGCUUAACACAUGCAAGUGGAGCGACGAAGCGGGCUUCGGCCCGUGGCAGAGCCGCGAACGGGUGAGUAACACGUGGGUAACCUACCCCGAUGACCGGGACAACCCGAGGAAACUCGGGCUAAUACCGGAUGUUCUGCACUCUCGUAAGGGAGUUCAGCAAAGAUAGCUUCGGCCUUCGCAUCGGGACGGGCCCGCGGCCCAUUAGCUUGUUGGUGGGGUAACGGCCUACCAAGGCGACGAUGGGUAGCUGGUCUGAGAGGACGAUCAGCCACACUGGGACUGAGACACGGCCCAGACUCCUACGGGAGGCAGCAGUGGGGAAUCUUGCGCAAUGCGCGAAAGCGUGACGCAGCAACGCCGCGUGGGGGAAGAAGGCCUUCGGGUUGUAAACCCCUUUCAGUUGGGACGAAGCUUCCAGGGUUAAUAGCUCUGUGGAGUGACGGUACCUUCAGAAGAAGCCCCGGCUAACUACGUGCCAGCAGCCGCGGUAAUACGUAGGGGGCUAGCGUUGUCCGGAAUCAUUGGGCGUAAAGCGCGUGUAGGCGGUCCGGUAAGUCCGCUGUGAAAGUCGGGGGCUCAACCCUCGGAUGCCGGUGGAUACUGUCGGGCUUGAGUACGGAAGAGGCGAGUGGAAUUCCUGGUGUAGCGGUGAAAUGCGCAGAUAUCAGGAGGAACACCAAUUGCGAAGGCAGCUCGCUGGGACGUUACUGACGCUGAGACGCGAAAGCGUGGGGAGCAAACAGGAUUAGAUACCCUAGUAGUCC
This 802-nucleotide ribosomal RNA is filed under the name uncultured bacterium. RNAcentral describes it as "bacterial SSU rRNA". It matches the Rfam family "Bacterial small subunit ribosomal RNA", at positions 8 to 796 of the family's 1533-position model. The record is from RNAcentral.